RNAcentral lists this ribosomal RNA (463 nucleotides) under uncultured bacterium. RNAcentral's name for it is "SSU rRNA". It matches the Rfam family "Bacterial small subunit ribosomal RNA", at positions 26 to 518 of the family's 1533-position model. The record is from RNAcentral.
AGGACUAACGCUGGCGGCGUGCCUAACACAUGCAAGUCGAGCGGGGUAGCAAUACCCAGCGGCAGACGGGUGAGUAACACGUGGUCAACCUUCCCGACAGUGGGGGAUAACUAGCCGAAAGGUUAGCUAAUACCGCAUACGAUCUAUGAGGGGCAUCCCUUAUAGAUGAAAGGAGCAAUCCGCUUUCGGACGGGACCGCGUCCCAUUAGCUAGAUGGUGGGGUAAUGGCCUACCAUGGCGACGAUGGGUAGCUGGUUUGAGAGAGCGACCAGCCACACUGGGACUGAGAAACGGCCCAGACUCCUACGGGAGGCAGCAGUGAGGAAUUUUCCGCAAUGGGCGAAAGCCUGACGGAGCGACGCCGCGUGUGGGAAGAAGGCCUUCGGUCGUAACCACUGUCGAAGGGGACGAUAAUGACGGUACCCUUGGAGGAAGCCCCGGCUAACUACGUGCCAGCAGCCGC